GACGAACGCUGGCGGCGUGCUUAACACAUGCAAGUCGAACGGAAAGGUCCUGAUUUUGUUGGGUGCUUGUGUGGCGAACGGGUGAGUAAAACGUGAGUAACCCGCCCUUGACUUUGGGAUAACUUCAGGAAACUGGGGCUAAAACCCGAUAGGAGCUCUUGCUGCAUGGUGGGGGAUGGAAAGUUUCGGCGGUUGGGGAUGGACUCGCGGCUUAUCAGCUUGUUGGGGGGGUAGUGGCUUACCAAGGCUUUGACGGGUAGCCGGCCUGAGAGGGUGACCGGCCUCCAUGGGACUGAGGGACGGACCAGACUGCUACGGGAGGCAACGGGGGGAAGUCUGACGCAGUGACGGGGAGCCUGUGACGGCAGCGCCGCGUGCGGAAUGACGGCCUUCGAGUUAUGAACCGAUUUGGCCUGUAACGAGGCGUGAGUGACGGUAAUGAAUAAAAAAGCACCGGCUAACUACGUG
Molecule: ribosomal RNA, 468 nt
Filed under: uncultured bacterium
Lineage: Bacteria
Description: partial 16S ribosomal RNA
Rfam family: Bacterial small subunit ribosomal RNA
Source: RNAcentral